Molecule: ribosomal RNA, 395 nt
Filed under: Olavius algarvensis Gamma 3 endosymbiont
Lineage: Bacteria; Pseudomonadati; Pseudomonadota; Gammaproteobacteria
Also listed under: 1 other name
Description: SSU rRNA
Rfam family: Bacterial small subunit ribosomal RNA
Source: RNAcentral
UUUAAACUGAAGAGUUUGAUCCUGGCUCAGAUUGAACGCUGGCGGUAUGCUUAACACAUGCAAGUCGAACGGUAGCGCGGAGAGCUUGCUCUCUGGCGACGAGUGGCGGACGGGUGCGUAACGCGUGGGAAUCUACCUUUUAGUGGGGGAUAGCCCGGAGAAAUCCGGAUUAAUACCGCAUAAUCUCUACGGAGCAAAGUGGGGGAUCUUCGGACCUCACGCUAUUAGAUGGGCCCGCGUUAGAUUAGCUUGUUGGUGAGGUAAUGGCUCACCAAGGCAACGCUCUAUAGCUGGUUUGAGAGGAUGAUCAGCCACACUGGGACUGAGACACGGCCCAGACUCCUACGGGAGGCAGCAGUGGGGAAUAUUGGACAAUGGGCGCAAGCCUGAUCCAG